UUGCGUUGAUCAAGGGAUGAUCCAUCCACAGUCAGCAUUUCAGAUGAAAUGACAAAGUCAUCUUUUGGAAAUAUCUGGAAAGGCCUCAACACUGACGGCACCAACAAAGAUCAAAGCUCCAAAAGCUCCCUCUCCUAAUGUCUCAGAUGCUGAUUUCCAAAGCUCAGCGGUUGAAGUUGCCAUUGAACAUAAAAGAGGUGAUGAAGAGAAGGAGGCAGAUUUGGAUAGAGAGACGAGUUUGUGAGUUCACGUAUUUCGAAACACUGUAUCGUGCCACACUGCAAGCACCACUAAAUGCUUCUGUUCUGUAGGUCUGUGUGUGCCAGUCUGUGCUAAGGCACCUUGUUAUAUUUACAUGUUUUUUAUGUGUGUGUGUGGAGAUGUUUGUUUCGAGCAUCUGAAUAUGUCAGAAUUUGCUGCCCACAAGGAGGAUUGUUGGGUUGUGUGUUUGUCCAGUCCAACUGUAGUCAAACUGUAGUUUCACCUAUAGAAAUUAAACAAAAUUAAGGUUACUUUUGUUUUCAACCAGGUAGAGUGUAUUUUGUAUGUUUUAUAUUUUUUUGAAAGUAGAUUCUAUUGAAAU
Molecule: long non-coding RNA, 583 nt
Organism: Sinocyclocheilus anshuiensis
Lineage: Eukaryota; Metazoa; Chordata; Actinopteri; Cypriniformes; Cyprinidae
Exons: 3
Source: RefSeq, a predicted model, not a curated record